UGCCAGCCGCCGCGGUAAUACGGAGGGUGCGAGCGUUAAUCGGAAUUACUGGGCGUAAAGGGCGCGUAGGCGGUCGCGCAAGUCGGGUGUGAAAGCCCCGGGCUCAACCUGGGAAUUGCAUUCGAUACUGCGUAACUAGAGUCUGGUAGAGGGAAGCGGAAUUCCGCAUGUAGCGGUGAAAUGCGUAGAUAUGCGGAGGAACACCAGUGGCGAAGGCGGCUUCCUGGACCAAGACUGACGCUGAGGCGCGAAAGCGUGGGGAGCAAACAGGAUUAGAUACCCUGGUAGUCCACGCCCUAAACGAUGAGGACUAGACGUUGGGGGGAUAAAACCCCUUAGUGUCGCAGCUAACGCGUGAAGUCCUCCGCCUGGGGAGUACGGCCGCAAGGUUGAAACUCAAAUGAAUUGACGG
Molecule: ribosomal RNA, 412 nt
Filed under: uncultured bacterium
Lineage: Bacteria
Description: bacterial SSU rRNA
Rfam family: Bacterial small subunit ribosomal RNA
Source: RNAcentral